Molecule: long non-coding RNA, 542 nt
Organism: Ictalurus punctatus (channel catfish)
Lineage: Eukaryota; Metazoa; Chordata; Actinopteri; Siluriformes; Ictaluridae
Exons: 2
Source: RefSeq, a predicted model, not a curated record
GUCAGAUUACUGAGCCAGGAGGAAAAGUUCAGGCGGAGGAUGUGCUCUAACAGGUUGGAUACAGCGCCACCGUGCGGCCGUGGGUUGAACCAUAUUUACUCUUUACACCGAGUGGGCUCUAACAGCGACUUAUUUAAAGACUCUGAAGUGUCCCGUCUCCCAGCAUUAUAAAAAUCACCUUGCCGAAGUUGCCGUUGUUGAGGAAGAGAAAACAUCAGCAAGCAUGAGUCGUAAAUGUGUCUUUGGCUGUUCGAACUGGAGAUCGUCCGAUUGAUCGGUUUUGCAGACCGGUUGUCUGGAGAAAUCCACCACGGUUGCGAGAGCGGCUGAGAAGGAUCCGCUGUCAUUAUACAGGACGAGAGAGGCCUCUAGAGGUGAACAUUUUGUUGUGCUAUUUGAAGUGUUUUUUGUUGUUUUUUUUUCAAUCAUUUUAGAUGUCUCUGUUUUUAUUUGUUAUUUGGCAUGUUACUUUUUGGUUCAGAUUGGAUGUAUAUCUUUUAUUUACUUUCAUAUUUAUUAAUAAUUAACAUACAUUAAUAUUU